CUCUAGGGUAUAAUUUUAAUCCAGUUAAUCUCUCUAGGGUAUCAUUUUAAUCCAGACAGUCUCUCUAGGUUAUCAUUUUAAUCCAGGGUGUUGAUAUUUUUGUAGUCUUCCUGACUGGGAUUCCAAUCCUUAUAUGCUAAUGCUAACUACUACAAGUCAAAACAUUGGACAUAUCGGACUAUCAUUCAUCUACAACAGUUUCAGAAUUGUUACAGUGUGUGUGUGUGUGUGUGUGUGUGUGUGUGUGUGUGUGUGCAUUGUGUUGUGGUUUAUAUGAUUGUCUACACUGAGGCUGAGCCUUGUGGUUAAACUGUCAACGUCGAAUAAAGUUGUUCUUUUUUUCUUUUCUUUUCUAGCAAAGCUCCUUUGCAGUUAUUCAUAUAAAAAUGAAAAAAAAAAAAUAAACUCCUUG
Ictalurus punctatus (channel catfish) is the source of this 412-nucleotide long non-coding RNA. The record is from Ensembl. NCBI's taxonomy places the organism in Eukaryota, Metazoa, Chordata, Actinopteri, Siluriformes, Ictaluridae.